This 497-nucleotide ribosomal RNA is filed under the name uncultured bacterium. RNAcentral describes it as "partial 16S ribosomal RNA". It matches the Rfam family "Bacterial small subunit ribosomal RNA", at positions 28 to 507 of the family's 1533-position model. The record is from RNAcentral.
GAUGAACGCUGGCGGCGUGCCUAACACAUGCCAGUCGAACGGAAAGACGCUGAGCUUGUUCCUUUCACGUUUGCGGCGGGCGGGUGGGUAACGUGUGGAUCACGUCCUUCUCUUUCGGGGAUAAUCACGGAACGCCGGCUACAAUACCACAUCAUAUCUUGAACCGCUGGGUUCAAUGGUGAAUGACGGCUUUGGUGGCUGUACUAGCUGGUUUCGGGCUGGAUUAGCUAGUUGGUAGGGUCACGGCUUACCAAGGCUACGAUGCGUAGCCGACCGGAGAGGGUGAUCGGCCACACUGGAACUGAGACACGGUCCAGACUCCUACGGGAGGCAGCAGUAGGGAAUCGUCGGCAAUGGGCGAAAGCUUGACGCAGCAACGCCGCGUGAGUGAUGAAGGCCUUCGGAUCGUAAAGCUCUGUUAUUGGGGAAGAACAGAUGUGGAAGUAACCAUGGACGUCUUGACGGUACCUAAUCAAAAAGCAACGGCUAACUACGUG